GCGCCGCUGGCGCGGCGCGAAAGCACGGCCGCGCUGGUGGCGCGGCUGGCCCGCGAAACCGCCGCGGCGCGCGGCCGCGGCCGGGCC
RNAcentral lists this transfer RNA (87 nucleotides) under Achromobacter dolens. Its description in RNAcentral is "tRNA-Thr". The record is from RNAcentral. Lineage: Bacteria; Pseudomonadati; Pseudomonadota; Betaproteobacteria; Burkholderiales; Alcaligenaceae.